GACGAACGCUGGCGGCGUGCUUAACACAUGCAAGUCGAACGGAAAGGCCCUGCUGUUGUGGGGUGCUCGAGUGGCGAACGGGUGAGUAACACGUGAGUAGCCUGCCCUUUACUUUGGGAUAACUUCAGUAAACUGGGGCUAAUACCGGAUAGGAGCUCCUGCUGCAUGGUGGGGGUUGGAAAGUUUCGGCGUUUUGGGAUGGACUCGGGGCUUAUCAUCGUGUUGGUGGGGUAGUGGUUUACAAAGGCUUUGAGGGGUAGCCGGCCUGAGAGGGUGACCGGCCACAUGGGGCCUGAGAUAGGGGCCAGACUCAAACGGGAGGCAGCGGUGGGAAAUAUUGCACAAUGGGCCGAAGCCUGAUGCAGCAACGCCGCGUGCGGGAUGACGGCCUUCGGGUUGUAAAGCGCUUUCGCCUGUGACGAAGCGUGAGUGACGGUAAUGGGUAAAGAAGCACCGGCUAACUACGUG
RNAcentral lists this ribosomal RNA (468 nucleotides) under uncultured bacterium. RNAcentral's name for it is "partial 16S ribosomal RNA". It matches the Rfam family "Bacterial small subunit ribosomal RNA", at positions 28 to 507 of the family's 1533-position model. The record is from RNAcentral.